This 29-nucleotide non-coding RNA is filed under the name Rattus norvegicus (Norway rat). The record is from RNAcentral. Lineage: Eukaryota; Metazoa; Chordata; Mammalia; Rodentia; Muridae.
UAGGAAAUAAACUGUCCAGUGUCAGAGAA